RNAcentral lists this ribosomal RNA (491 nucleotides) under uncultured bacterium. Its description in RNAcentral is "partial 16S ribosomal RNA". It matches the Rfam family "Bacterial small subunit ribosomal RNA", at positions 29 to 506 of the family's 1533-position model. The record is from RNAcentral.
AGUGAACGCUGGCGGUAGGCCUAACACAUGCAAGUCGAGCGGCAGCACAGUAAGAGCUUGCUCUUACGGGUGGCGAGUGGCGGACGGGUGAGGAAUACAUCGGAAUCUACUUUUUCGUGGGGGAUAACGUAGGGAAACUUACGCUAAUACCGCAUACGACCUACGGGUGAAAGCAGGGGAUCUUCGGACCUUGCGCGAUUGAAUGAGCCGAUGUCGGAUUAGCUAGUUGGCGGGGUAAAGGCCCACCAAGGCGACGAUCCGUAGCUGGUCUGAGAGGAUGAUCAGCAAACCGGAACUUAGGACCCGGUCCAGACUCCUACGGGAGGCAGCGUGGGGGAUUAUGGGACAAUGGGCGCAACCUUGUCCCAGCCAUACCGCUGGGGUGAAGAAGGCCUCCGGUUUGUAAAGCCUUUUUGUUGGAAAAAAAAAGCAGCAGGUUAAUACCCCGCUGUUCUGACGUUACCCAAAGAAUAAACACCGCCUACCUUCUG